CAAACAUGGCCGAUGGGGUGUUGCUUACGGAGGAUAAUCAUUGCCAGCCGAUUCUUGUUAAUGGUGAAUUGAUGCCUACAGUGCCGGAGUACAUGCCCUCGUUUCCCAUCUCAUUGAAGGGUAUUAAACGACAUUUCGUUUGCAAGUUAUCUGCCCCUAAAACUAAUUCUACGACUCCUUCGACCACAUUAAGCCGUACAACUUUCGAUUCGUUUUCAGCAUCCACUACUUCUCGUGAAGCAACAACCAAUUCUGUAUCGGAAUCGACCACAUCAAAUCCCACUUCA
Long non-coding RNA from Strongylocentrotus purpuratus (purple sea urchin), 287 nucleotides. RefSeq lists it as uncharacterized. The transcript has 3 exons. Lineage: Eukaryota; Metazoa; Echinodermata; Echinoidea; Camarodonta; Strongylocentrotidae. The record is from RefSeq and is a predicted model, not a curated record.